UACGUAGGGGGCAAGCGUUGUCCGGAAUCAUUGGGCGUAAAGAGCGUGUAAGCGGCCCGAUAAGUCCGCUGUGAAAGUCCGAGGGCUCCAACCCGUGGGAUGCCGGUGGAUACGUGUCGGGCUCGAAUCCGGAAGAGGUGAGUGGAAUUCCUGGUGUAGCGGUGAAAUGCGCAGAUAUCAGGAGGAACACCGGUGGCGAAGGCGGUUCUCUGGGCCUUACCUGACGCUGAGGAGCGAAAGCAUGGGGAGCGAACAGG
Molecule: ribosomal RNA, 257 nt
Filed under: uncultured bacterium
Lineage: Bacteria
Description: partial 16S ribosomal RNA
Rfam family: Bacterial small subunit ribosomal RNA
Source: RNAcentral